This 443-nucleotide ribosomal RNA is filed under the name uncultured bacterium. Its description in RNAcentral is "partial 16S ribosomal RNA". It matches the Rfam family "Bacterial small subunit ribosomal RNA", at positions 338 to 795 of the family's 1533-position model. The record is from RNAcentral.
CCUACGGGGGGCAGCAGUGGGGGAUAUUGGACAAUGGGGGAAACCCUGAUCCAGCGACGCCGCGUGAGUGAAGAAGUAUUUCGGUAUGUAAAGCUCUAUCAGCAGGGAAGCACGAAAUGACGGUACCUGCGUAAGAAGCCCCGGCUAACUCCGUGCCAGCAGCCGCGGUAAUACGUCGGGGGCAAGCGUUAUCCGGAAUUACUGGGUGUAAAGGGCGCGUAGACGGUAAUGAAAGUCUGGAGGGAAAGGCGGGGGCCCAACCCCCGGAGUGCCCUGGAAACUGUGUAACUGGAGUGCAGGAGAGGCAGGCGGAAUUACUAGUGUAGCGGUGAAAUGCGUAGAUAUCACGAAGAACCCCGAGUGCGAAGGCAGCCUGCCGCAGCGUAACUGACGCGGAAGCUCGAAAGCGCGGGUAUCGAACAGGAUUAGAUACCCGAGUAGUC